UACGAAGGGGGCGAGCGUUGUUCGGAAUUACUGGGCGUAAAGGGCGCGUAGGCGGCGACUCAAGUUAGAUGUGAAAGUCCUGGGCUUAACCUGGGGACUGCAUUUGAUACUGGGUUGCUUGAAUUCGGGAGAGGAUAGCGGAAUUCCCAGUGUAGAGGUGAAAUUCGUAGAUAUUCGCAAGAACACCAGUGGCGAAGGCGGCUCACUGGCCCGGUACUGACGCUGAGGUGCGAAAGCGUGGGGAGCAAACAGG
This 253-nucleotide ribosomal RNA is filed under the name uncultured bacterium. RNAcentral's name for it is "partial 16S ribosomal RNA". It matches the Rfam family "Bacterial small subunit ribosomal RNA", at positions 524 to 776 of the family's 1533-position model. The record is from RNAcentral.